GGCAUGGUGGCUCAGUCGUUAGAGCGCCCUCAUGAACGGGAGGUCGUGGGUUCGAACCCCGGCCGAGUCA
This 70-nucleotide transfer RNA is filed under the name Strongylocentrotus purpuratus (purple sea urchin). It matches the Rfam family "tRNA". From Rfam's summary of the family: Transfer RNA (tRNA) molecules are approximately 80 nucleotides in length. Their secondary structure includes four short double-helical elements and three loops (D, anti-codon, and T loops). Further hydrogen bonds mediate the characteristic L-shaped molecular structure. tRNAs have two regions of fundamental functional importance: the anti-codon, which is responsible for specific mRNA codon recognition, and the 3' end, to which the tRNAs corresponding amino acid is attached (by aminoacyl-tRNA synthetases). tRNAs cope with the degeneracy of the genetic code in two manners: having more than one tRNA (with a specific anti-codon) for a particular amino acid; and 'wobble' base-pairing, i.e. permitting non-standard base-pairing at the 3rd anti-codon position. Lineage: Eukaryota; Metazoa; Echinodermata; Echinoidea; Camarodonta; Strongylocentrotidae. The record is from Rfam by way of RNAcentral.